Molecule: unclassified non-coding RNA, 149 nt
Filed under: uncultured Ascomycota
Lineage: Eukaryota; Fungi; Ascomycota
Description: sequence contains ITS2
Source: RNAcentral
CAACCCUCAAGCCCAAGCUUGGUAUUGGAUGCCACCUAACUAUACGGUGCAUCUCAAAAUUAGUGGCGGUGCCUUGCAGCUUUCAAGCGUAAUAAAUUUCUCGCUUCUAGAGUGUGUUGGUGCCUGCUUAAAACCUCCAAAUUAUCAAG